GACGAACGCUGGCGGCGUGCUUAACACAUGCAAGUCGAACGGAAAGGCCCUGCUUUUGUGGGGUGCUCGAGUGGCGAACGGGUGAGUAACACGUGAGUAACCUGCCCUUGACUUUGGGAUAACUUCAGGAAACUGGGGCUAAUACCGGAUAGGAGCUCCUGCUGCAUGGUGGGGGUUGGAAAGUUUCGGCGGUUGGGGAUGGACUCGCGGCUUAUCAGCUUGUUGGUGGGGUAGUGGCUUACCAAGGCUUUGACGGGUAGCCGGCCUGAGAGGGUGACCGGCCACAUUGGGACUGAGAUACGGCCCAGACUCCUACGGGAGGCAGCGGUGGGGAAUAUUGCACAAUGGGCGGAAGCCGGAUGCAGCAACGCCGCGUGCGGGAUGACGGCCUUCGGGUUGUAAACCGCUUUCGCCUGUGACGAAGCGUGAGUGACGGUAAUGGGUAAAGAAGCACCGGCUAACUACGU
RNAcentral lists this ribosomal RNA (467 nucleotides) under uncultured bacterium. Its description in RNAcentral is "partial 16S ribosomal RNA". It matches the Rfam family "Bacterial small subunit ribosomal RNA", at positions 28 to 506 of the family's 1533-position model. The record is from RNAcentral.